GACGAACGCUGGCGGCGCGCCUAACACAUGCAAGUCUAACGAGCGUUAUAGAGCUUUCUUUCUUGAUCGAGUGGCGAACGGGUGAGUAACGCGUGAGGAACCUUCCUCAACUCGAGUGACAACAGUUGGAAACGACUGCUAAUACCGCUUAAGCCCACGCUGCCGCCUGGCACAGAGGGCAAUGGAGCAAUCCGCUUUGAGAUGGCCUCGCGUCCGAUUAGCUAGUUGUUGAGGUAACGGCCCACCGAGGCGACGAUCGGUAGCCGGACUGAGAGGUUGAACGGCGACAUUGGGAGUGAGACACGGCCCAGACUCCUAAGGGAGGCAGCAGGGGGGAAUAUUAGACAAGGGGGGAAAGCCUGAGGCAGCGACGCCGAGUGGAGGAAGAAGGUCUUCGGAUUGUAAACUCCUGUUGUUGGGGAAGAUAAUGACGGUACCCAACAAGGAAGUGACGGCUAACUACGUG
This 466-nucleotide ribosomal RNA is filed under the name uncultured bacterium. RNAcentral describes it as "partial 16S ribosomal RNA". It matches the Rfam family "Bacterial small subunit ribosomal RNA", at positions 28 to 507 of the family's 1533-position model. The record is from RNAcentral.